UACUCUUUCUCUGUUUCUCUUCUGCUGAGGCUGAAGACACGCCCCUUCCGGCUGCUCGCCCUGCUGCUCUCACCGGCGUUCAAAACAUUCGGCGCGUUACUCUGCUUGGUGUUGUGUAGCCACAUUUGGGUUGCUAAAGGAAGCCAUAGCGGCUGGACCGGCUUCUGACGUGCUCUCCUUGUCCUGUGUGUGUGCGCGUCACGCUGCUGUAACAGAGAGGCUGUGUACCUGUGGUUGGGACGUGGUGUCGUCGGUGGUGGUGGUCCCCCUCCCCGUGUGAAGUGUGAACCCUGGUUUUUUUGGUUUAGUUUUGCACGUGUGUGUGAUUUAUUUAUUUUUUUCUCUUUAUUCACUUGGUGACCUCUCCCUGGGCCCUGAUCAGUGAAGCCCUAAAGCUCUAAUCUCUCAUGAAUGUAAGUAACAUUUAUUCAAUACUUCUUAUUCAUGAGCACAGUGACAUAUCGGUGUAUGUAUAUGUAUGGGCCUUGUUGUGGACAUCUCUCACCUUGAUGCGGACCUCGUUGGCCUGAGGUGGAGCCACUUCAAUCUCCUCAAUCACCAGAGGUUUGUUGGGCUCCCAGGCCACUGCCGCCUUGCACUUGAUGACCUACAGGAAUAGUGACAUCAGCAUGAUAUCUAACAUUUCUGGGUGCUGCAGGAGUUUAAGUAAGCCAGGGUGAGAAGGUGCUAUGGAACACUCCAAGCACCCACUCAAAUAACACAUAUAUUUUGAAAGAAAUUAAAGUAAAGCAUUUUGUUGCAUUAUGCUAAGUUAAGCUUAAAAACUUGACUCCCCUGAUGCUUUCAUGUCAAAGCAAACACUUAUUUAAUGGUAUCAAAGUGACUUAUUUGCAUUUUUUGGUUGCAUGUAAACAGCACAGUAGAGAGUACACUGUCUUAUGUACAGCUGGUCAGGAAAAAAACAAACAUCUUCUAAAACACAACGGUCUAAGUUCCACGUGUUAUUUGGCAAACCCUUUAUUUGAUAGUACAGUAAAAUUUAGUGUAGGGUUGGGUUGGCACAUUUAAUAUUACUGAGUAAAUGUGUUGUUACAUUUGAGUUUCUACAUUGAGUUCUUUGGCCUCCACUGUUCUCUUUUUUUUGGCAUCCUACCACUUAGUGUUGGCCAUUAUCAACAGUUGCAUAACGUUCCUUGGAUAGUUUCAAACUGUGUGUCGGGUUAAAUCAGGACAUGCUCCUGCAUUAACUGCACUAACUGGUCUCAGUGAAACGGACAUGCAUAUGCAAAAAAAUACAUGUUAAUAACAAUAUAUAAGAGCACUGAAACACUUUUGAUUGUAUUUUCAGGUAUUAGCAGGUUUAUUAGAGUUACCCAGCCACACUUUAACCACUAAAUUAGCCUCACAAGCAGCAAAAUACACUCAAGCAUUUUAUGAACACUUACAAGUCUUAUAUCUAAGUGAAUCUUUUAGUGUGAGGUUUGUUGCAUGGAUUUGUUGUACUACCUAUCUUGCUCGAGUUUACAAUAAAACACUUUGAAAAACACACUCAAACUUCACAGCUGACAUGGGUACUCACAUACAAUUUUGCACCUACCUUACCAGCUGUAGCCAUAUCUGCAGCAAUGAUAGGACUCAAAAAAUGAGAGAGGAGUUGCGAAGGACAAGAGUUGCUGGACUGCAGAAUAAAGGAGAACCGGAGACUGCUUGUAAAUUCAGGACAGUCCUCAGCCAGUCCUGCCCCUAGUUGCUCUCCGGUCCAGUCUGUUUGAUGACGCUUUUUACAUCACUGGCUUCAAAAAAUCCAAAACGGCAACCAGGAAGUAGCAAAA
This is a long non-coding RNA of Acanthochromis polyacanthus (spiny chromis), 1793 nucleotides long. RefSeq lists it as uncharacterized. The transcript has 3 exons. Lineage: Eukaryota; Metazoa; Chordata; Actinopteri; Pomacentridae. The record is from RefSeq and is a predicted model, not a curated record.